UCACAGAUCAGCUCUGUGGGGAAGAGGUGAGCAAGGCCCGCAAGCUGUGUGGAUGCAGGAUGUGCCUGGAGGACUUGGCAGAGUACCUGCACCUUCCUGUGACAGAUACACUACAGGAUGUCUUUGCCCUCUUUGAGGAGCAUGGACAGAUGGAUGUGAGGGAGUAUAUCUUAGCCCUGUCUGUGGUCUGCAGUCCCUUUUAACAUCUGGAGACUCUUCAGCUUGCCUUCACGAGGCUUUGUGCUACUGGGUACUCAUCAGCGGUUGUAUCUAUCCUCACCGAUAUGCCAGGAGAUGGUGGAAGCAGGUCUGCAGCAAACACUUCAGGAGGAAAGUGCCUGCUCUCAGGAGGAGUGUGAACUACAACGCCUGCCAAGUCGCCAGAAGUCAAGUCACACGGAAAUAAUUCCAUACUGCUCUUCAUGCAGCGCUAACCACCGUUGCCAUGUACUGUACUGCUCCAAAAUGAAGCUUUUGUCUCUGUGGAAAGUUCCAUACAUGCCCUUGACGCCAUGUUCACUGAUGAGACGGUGUGCUUCAGAUCUUCACAGAGCUCCUUUCCCACCAAACGUUCCUCAUUCCCCUGCAUCCUUAUGCCUGCUUGUUUUAUUUUGUUUAAUGGUCAACUCAUAUCUCCAACACUUCCUUGGGCCUCCUGAUGAGAAACAACAGCGACAUACUUCAGAAUCAAAUCAAACCUUAGAAUUAAGUGCAGACUUUAUGUUGGUCUCUUGUGCAAUAACUGUUGAUUUAACAACACACAGCUCACCAGCAACCAAUUAAAGAACCAACUGGGCAAUUUCUUAUGGGGUCUUGGAUGGAGGUGGUGGGAGCAUUGUAUGAAAAGGGUCAGGCUUCCUUCAGGGUUUGCCCAAUACAGC
This is a non-coding RNA of Electrophorus electricus (electric eel), 881 nucleotides long. Lineage: Eukaryota; Metazoa; Chordata; Actinopteri; Gymnotiformes; Gymnotidae. The record is from RefSeq and is a predicted model, not a curated record.